RNAcentral lists this unclassified non-coding RNA (265 nucleotides) under Ambisporaceae sp. Its description in RNAcentral is "partial contains 5.8S ribosomal RNA and internal transcribed spacer 2". The stretch from base 1 to 71 matches the Rfam family "5.8S ribosomal RNA", at positions 84 to 154 of the family's 154-position model. The record is from RNAcentral. Lineage: Eukaryota; Fungi; Glomeromycota; Glomeromycetes; Archaeosporales; Ambisporaceae.
GUGAAUCAUCAAAUUUUUGAACGCAUAUUGCACUCUCUGGGAUUCCGGAGAGUAUGCCUGUUUGAGGGUAAUUAAAAAGAAUCUUUAGCCAAUUUUUUUUGUUCUAAGGAUAUGAGCUCUACGCGUUUAUAGCGGUAUCUUUAAAUAAAUGAUUAAAUCUCAUUUUAGUCGAGACGCGUAAUAAUAUUAAUUCGCGAAAUCUUCAUUAUGUGACUAUCAAGUUUUGAUGCAUACAAAUUUGCUUUUUUUUGCAUAAAUACAAUUU